Molecule: ribosomal RNA, 496 nt
Filed under: uncultured bacterium
Lineage: Bacteria
Description: partial 16S ribosomal RNA
Rfam family: Bacterial small subunit ribosomal RNA
Source: RNAcentral
GAUGAACGCUGGCGGCGUGCCUAGUACAUGCAAGUCGAGCGAACGGACGAGAAGCUUGCUUCUCUGAUGUUAGCGGCGGACGGGUGAGUAACACGUGGAUAACCUACCUAUAAGACUGGGAUAACUUCGGGAAACCGGAGCUAAUACCGGAUAAUAUUUUGAACCGCAUGGUUCAAAAGUGAAAGACGGUCUUGCUGUCACUUAUAGAUGGAUCCGCGCUGCAUUAGCUAGUUGGUAAGGUAACGGCUUACCAAGGCAACGAUGCAUAGCCGACCUGAGAGGGUGACCGGCCACGCUGGAGCUGAGCCACGGUCCAGACUCCUACGGGAGGCAGCAGUAGGGAAUCUUCCGCAAUGGGCGAAAGCCUGACGGAGCAACGCCGCGUGAGUGAUGAAGGUCUUCGGAUCGUAAAACUCUGUUAUUAGGGAAGAACAUAUGUGUAAGUAACUGUGCACAUCUUGACGGUACCUAAUCAGAAAGCCACGGCUAACUACGU